Scylla paramamosain (green mud crab) is the source of this 3841-nucleotide long non-coding RNA. RefSeq lists it as uncharacterized. The transcript is spliced from 4 exons. The record is from RefSeq and is a predicted model, not a curated record. Lineage: Eukaryota; Metazoa; Arthropoda; Malacostraca; Decapoda; Portunidae.
CCGAAAGUAUUUCUUCGCCGAAAAUAGCAAAACUUAGCGGUAAACAUAGAAGUAAUACCUAGCAGCUUACUUACCUCUCUCCGCCUUGUUAGUCGUGACAGCAGCACUACUUUCGAUGUGUAGUCCCGGGAUCGACCCUCUGUCAUUCGCCUCACCCGUGCCUUCCUGAAAAAAAAAAGGACAACUGAAAAGAUAGAAUACUGUUGUGAGCCUGCAGCUUCCCAAUACCAUGGCAAGCAGUGACCAGCAGGGGUUCUUACACACACGUACACUGGUACAGUCUGCAUUAAUGUCAUCAUUGGAAAGACAGCCACAGCUUCCCAGCAUGGCCAACCUGACCAGCCACCUUUCCCCCCUCCAACCUGACAGCACCCCUCACUAGGUGAUGGCAGUGCAAGGGGACCACUACUGGAGGCACCCAUGUCAACAAUGGAUCUCCACACAUCAGUACACUGAAAGCUCUGACUGAGGAGGGACUCCCUGAAGGUGCCGACUGGGAGGGACAUCCCUGGUGCAUAAUGUGUGAGGUUGCAGUGUGUAAACAUACUUCUGGUGUGAGAGGGAAUGUGUAUUUAUGGAAAGGGGCUGUGGGGAUUGGGGUUUGUAAAUAUACUGUGGGGGGACACCCUGUGGGUCUGUGAGCUGAGAGAGAGAGAGAGAGAGAGAGAGAGAGAGAGAGAGAGAGAGAGAGAGAGAGAGACACACACACACACACACACACACACACACACACACACACACACACACACACACACACACACACACACACACACACACACACACACACACACACACACAUACAGCUCUCCUAUUAUGUUCCCUCUUGCAGGACCCUUGGCUCUUGACUGGUCAGAAAGAGCAUUGGUGCUCACUUGCACAUUCCCCUGCCACCUCCCAGCACUACAUGUCACAUGUUGCUUGCUCUAGUGGUAGUUUUGUGUUAUGUGGCUUAGCUUGCUUUAUAUUCAAUAUAGAUAAUUUUAAUUGAUAUCCUAAGUCUUAGCAAAGGUUGCAAAAAUAACCAAAAACAAAUACUUAAGUUUUUGGAAUUUCUUAAGACUAGUAUAACCGGAAAACUUUCAGUAAUGUCCUAUGAUUGCUGUAUUUAGUGCUACACAUGCAAUCUCUGAAUACUAGUAUAACUGGGAACUUUCAGUAAUAUCUUAUGAUUGCUGUAUUCAGUGGCAUACAGACAUUCUGAAUAAGUUGUUUCAUCCUGUGGAAGAAAACUUCCUUAACAUGAUGGUGUGACCAGAGCAUGAAUAAAACACUGGAAUUAUUCAUAAAACUUCCUUAACAUGAUGGUGUGACCAGAGCAUGGAUAAAACACUGGAAUUAUUCAUAAGGGGAUUUUGCACCACUCCAGCCACACACCAACCAAUUGUGUGUAAAGUGGAACUGUCUUUUAUUUGACAUUUUAUCCACAUGUGUUCUGGAUUUUUUUUUCUAAAAGAUGAAGUAAUUUAAUUCAGAAUGCCUUCAUAUGCUGCUAUAAAUGGCAAUCAUAUAAGUAACAUAUUAUUAAAAUUGUGUAGUAAGUUUCUAGUUAUACCCAUCAUAAUUUUAAGUGAGUUUCUGUAAACCCAUCUUUAUUCUGCAAGUGUCGGGAUACCUUUUUUUUUUUUUAUAUAUGUAGGAGGGACACUGGCCAAGGGGAAAAUAAACACUGAGAUGCCAGUCCCAGGAAAGGGUCCAAAGCAGUAGUCAAAAAUUGAAGGAUAAGAGUCUUGAACCCUCCCUCUUGAAGGAAUUCAAGUCAUAGGAAGUUGGAAAUACAGAAGCAGGCAGGGAGUUCCAGAGUUUACCAGAGAAAGGGAUGAAUGACUGAGAAUACUGCUUAACUCUUGCAUUAGAGAGGUGGACAGAAUAGGGGUGAAAGAAAGAAGAAAGUCUUGUGCAGUGAAACCGCGGGAGGAGGGAAGGCAUGCAGUUAGCAAGAUCAGGAGAGCAGUUAGCAUGAAAAUAGCAGUAGAAGACAGCUAGAGAUGCAACAUUGUGGCGAUGAGAGAGAGGCUAAGACAAUCAGUUAGAGGAUAGGAGUUGAUGAGACGAAAAGCUUUUCAUUCCACCCUGUCUAGAAGAGCAGUAUGAGUGGAACCUCCCCCAGACGUGAAGCAUACUCCAUACAUGGAUGGAUAAGGCCCCUGUACAGAGUUAGCAGCUGGGCGGUGAGAAAAACUGGCAGAGACGUCUCAGAAUGCCUAACUUCAUAGAAGCUGUUUUAGCUAGAAAUGGGAUGUGAAGUUUCCAGUUCAGAUUAUAAGUAAAGGACAGACCGAGGAUGUUCAGUGUAGAAGAGGGGGACAGUUGAGUGUCAUUGAAGAAGAGGGGAUAGUUGUUUGGAAGGUUGUGUCGAGUUGAUAGAUGGAGGAAUUGAGUUUUGGAGGCAUUGAACAAUACCAAGUUUGCUCUGCCCCAAUCAGAAAUUUUUGAAAGAUCAGAUGUCAAGCACUCUGUGGCUUCCUUGCAUGAAAUGUUUACUUCCUGAAGGGUUGGACGUCUAUGAAAAGAUGUGGAAAAGUGCAGGGUGGUAUCAUCAGCGUAGGAGUGGAUAGGACAAGAAGUUUGGUUUAGAAGGUCAUUGAUGAAUAAUAAGUGGGUGACAGGACAGAACCCUGAAGUUAAUAGAUUUAGGAGAAGAACAGUGACCGUCUACCACAGCAGCAACAGAACGGUCAGAAAGGAAACUUGAGAGUUACAGAGAGAAGGAUAGAAGCUGUAGGAGGGUAGUUUGGAAAUCAAAGCUUUGUGCCAGACUCUAUCAAAAGCUUUAGAUAUGUCCAAGGUAACAGUAAAAGUUUCAUCAAAAUCUCUAAAAGAGGAUGACCAUGACUCAGCAGAAGAUCACCAGUAGAGCGGCCUUGACGGAACCCAUACUGGUGAUCAGGUAGAAGGUUGUGAAGUGAUAGAUGUUUAAGAAUCUUCCUGUUGAGGAUAGAUUAAGAAACUUUAGAUAGGCAGGAAAUUAAAGCAAUAGGACGGUAGUAUGAGGGAUUAGAAUGGUCAUCCUUUUUAGGAACAGGCUGAAUGUAGGCAAACUUCCAACAAGAAGGAAAGGUAGAUGUUGACAGACAGAGCUGAAAGAGUUUGACUAGGCAAGGUGCAAGUACCUUACAUAUAAAACAAGCUAAGGCACAUAACAAAAACACACCACUGGAGCAUGUAAUGUGAAGCCUGGCACCAAGUCAGCAAAGGGAAGAUGCAGCUACUCAUUGAUAUACCUUCUUAAUGGGCUGAGCCAAAGAUCUAGCUGAAACAGUCUCAGAUCUUGUGGAAACUGUCAUGUGUUGGCCUAGCUUGAAGCUUUCUCUAUAAUCAAUUCAUCUUGUUUUCUUGACACUUCCAUCUAACCUGGUGUUCCUGUCUCGACAUGCAGUUUCAAGGGCAGCAAUCUUCAAAAUGGCAUCCUUCAAUGUGGACGCCUCCUUGGACAUCCCCCUGCUGGUACAAAGAUGGAAGUAUUGUUCACAUUAGUAUGUCAGAUCUUAGCUCUCUAUAUUCAUAAAUAUUUAUAUAUACUUUUUACAGAUCUUUACCACUCCUGUCCAACCUUUUAAGGAGAAAUAAGGAUGUUAAGUGGAAGGGAAAACAAGGGUGAUAACUGGAAUUAUAGUAGUAGAUGAAAAAAUAAGGAUGCUAACUGGAAUUAUAACACUGGAGAUAAUGCCACCAGUGAAAGGUGAGCCUCCCCAACUUCCAGGGUGUCACCAGAUUGAAACAUAGUGGUUCCCCCUCCAAUCUUACGUGCAGUUUGGGACAGUGCUCUGGUCUCUCAGUGGUCCUCAGUCAUUCUCCCUUCCUGCAAGACAACUGGUUAUACAAAAUAAAAAUAUAAGUCAAU